RNAcentral lists this ribosomal RNA (346 nucleotides) under uncultured bacterium. RNAcentral's name for it is "bacterial SSU rRNA". It matches the Rfam family "Bacterial small subunit ribosomal RNA", at positions 8 to 352 of the family's 1533-position model. The record is from RNAcentral.
AGAGUUUGAUCCUGGCUCAGGACGAACGCUGGCGGCAGGCUUAACACAUGCAAGUCGCACGAGAACGCUCCUUCGGGAGCAAGUAAAGUGGCGGACGGGUGCGUAACGCGUAGACAACCUGCCCUUGAGCGGGGGAUAACCACGGGAAACUGUGGCUAAUACCGCAUAACGUCCGGAUCCCGCAUGGGAACCGGAUCAAAGUCUUCGGACGCUCAGGGAUGGGUCUGCGUCGGAUUAGCUCGUUGGUGAGGUAACAGCUCACCAAGGCAACAAUCCGUAGCUGGUCUGAGAGGAUGAUCAGCCACACUGGCACUGAGACACGGGCCAGACACCUACGGGUGGCAGC